Molecule: long non-coding RNA, 477 nt
Organism: Homo sapiens (human)
Lineage: Eukaryota; Metazoa; Chordata; Mammalia; Primates; Hominidae
Source: Ensembl
CACGUCUACCCGCCGCGCACGGGCCACCGCGCGUUCCCGCCUGAAGUUUUCGUACGCGCUGUUCCUUUCGCGUAGCCAAAUUCCACCGACCUCGAGGAAAUGCCACCUUCUCCAGGGGCCUUCCCAGACCCCCUCCCCUGCCCGCGGUCGACGGCCGCCCUGUGAUUACUGGGGGUGCGGUGGGAGUCACUGGACUCGCUGCCGAUCCUAGGAGCCCAGCACGGCGCCGCACGCGGUGGGCCCAAAGCCCGACCGUGGGGGACCUCAAACCAGAGGCCCUCAAGGCCCGUUCCACCCGGCCUGUGGCGCAGUGCUGGGCACUUGGGAACGGAGGUCCCUGUCUUCUCGCUGCAAGCCCCUCCGUGGUGCGCGCCGUGGGUCUGCGGGUUGGUCUUUUUCCUCGUUUAUGAAGUUCUUUUCACUCGUCGUUACUAUUUUGUAAGUUCACCAUUUAAAAAUUAAUAAUGCCAAGCCCGA